RNAcentral lists this ribosomal RNA (429 nucleotides) under Chloroflexota bacterium. Its description in RNAcentral is "Chloroflexi bacterium partial 16S ribosomal RNA". It matches the Rfam family "Bacterial small subunit ribosomal RNA", at positions 355 to 776 of the family's 1533-position model. The record is from RNAcentral. Lineage: Bacteria; Bacillati; Chloroflexota.
UGGGGAAUAUUGCACAAUGGGCGCAAGCCUGAUGCAGCCAUGCCGCGUGUAUGAAGAAGGCCUUCGGGUUGUAAAGUACUUUCAGCGGGGAGGAAGGGAGUAAAGUUAAUACCUUUGCUCAUUGACGUUACCCGCAGAAGAAGCACCGGCUAACUCCGUGCCAGCAGCCGCGGUAAUACGGAGGGUGCAAGCGUUAAUCGGAAUUACUGGGCGUAAAGCGCACGCAGGGGGUUUGUUAAGUCAGAUGUGAAAUCCCCGGGCUCAACCUGGGAACAGCAUCUGAUACUGGAAAGCUUGAGUCUAGUAGAGGGGGGUAGAAUUCCAGGUGUAGCGGUGAAAUGCGUAGAGAUAUGGAGGAAUACCGGUGGCGAAGGCGGCCACCUGGACGAAGACUGACGAUCAGGUGCGAAAGCGUGGGGAGCAAACAGG